GAUUAUGGCUCAGGACGAACGCUGGCGGCGUGCCUAACACAUGCAAGUCGAGCGAGGAGAUCCUCGGGAUGAUCCUAGCGGCGGACGGGUGAGUAACACGUGGGCAACCUGCCUCAUAGAGAGGAAUAGCCUUCCGAAAGGGAGAUUAAUACCUCAUAACAUUGCAGUUUCGCAUGGAACAGCAAUUAAAGGAGUAAUCCGCUAUGAGAUGGGCCCGCGGCGCAUUAGCUAGUUGGUGAGGUAAUGGCUCACCAAGGCGACGAUGCGUAGCCGACCUGAGAGGGUGAUCGGCCACAUUGGGACUGAGACACGGCCCAGACUCCUACGGGAGGCAGCAGUGGGGAAUAUUGCACAAUGGGGGAAACCCUGAUGCAAGCAACGCCGCGUGAGUGAUGACGGCCUUCGGGUUGUAAAGCUCUGUCUUCAGGGACGAUAAUGACCGGUACCUGAGGAGGAAGCCACGGCUAACUACGUGCCAGCCGCUGC
Molecule: ribosomal RNA, 486 nt
Filed under: uncultured bacterium
Lineage: Bacteria
Description: bacterial SSU rRNA
Rfam family: Bacterial small subunit ribosomal RNA
Source: RNAcentral